This 492-nucleotide ribosomal RNA is filed under the name uncultured bacterium. RNAcentral describes it as "partial 16S ribosomal RNA". It matches the Rfam family "Bacterial small subunit ribosomal RNA", at positions 29 to 507 of the family's 1533-position model. The record is from RNAcentral.
AGUGAACGCUGGCGGUAGGCCUAACACAUGCCAGUCGAACGGCAGCACAGUAAGAGCUUGCUCUUACGGGUGGCGAGUGGCGGACGGGUGAGGAAUACAUCGGAAUCUACUUUUUCGUGGGGGAUAACGUAGGGAAACUUACGCUAAUACCGCAUACGACCUACGGGUGAAAGCAGGGGAUCUUCGGACCUUGCGCGAUUGAAUGAGCCGAUGUCGGAUUAGCUAGUUGGCGGGGUAAAGGCCCACCAAGGCGACGAUCCGUAGCUGGUCUGGGAGGAUGAUCAGCCACACUGGAACCGAGACACGGUCCAGACUCCUACGGGAGGCAGCAGUGGGGAAUAUUGGACAAUGGGCGCAAGCCUGAUCCAGCCAUACCGCGUGGGUGAAGAAGGCCUUCGGGUUGUAAAGCCCUUUUGUUGGGAAAGAAAAGCAGCAGGUUAAUACCCCGCUGUUCUGACGGUACCCAAAGAAUAAGCACCGGCUAACUUCGUG